Molecule: ribosomal RNA, 433 nt
Filed under: uncultured bacterium
Lineage: Bacteria
Description: partial 16S ribosomal RNA
Rfam family: Bacterial small subunit ribosomal RNA
Source: RNAcentral
AACGAACGCUGGCGGCAUGCCUAACACAUGCCAGUCGAACGAGACCUUCGGGUCUAGUGGCGCACGGGUGCGUAACGCGUGGGAACCUGCCCUUAGGUUCGGAAUAACUCCCCGAAAGGGGUGCUAAUACCGGAUAAUGUCUUCGGACCAAAGAUUUAUCGCCUUUGGAUGGGCCCGCGUUGGAUUAGCUAGUUGGUAGGGUAAAUGCCUACCAAGGCGACGAUCCAUAGCUGGUCUGAGAGGAUGAUCAGCCACACUGGGACUGAGACACGGCCCAGACUCCUACGGGAGGCAGCAGUGGGGAAUAUUGGACAAUGGGCGAAAGCCUGAUCCAGCAAUGCCGCGUGAGUGAUGAAGGCCUUAGGGUUGUAAAGCUCUUUUACCCGGGAUGAUAAUGACAGUACCGGGAGAAUAAGCCCCGGCUAACUCCGUG